RNAcentral lists this ribosomal RNA (433 nucleotides) under uncultured Lachnospiraceae bacterium. Its description in RNAcentral is "partial 16S ribosomal RNA". It matches the Rfam family "Bacterial small subunit ribosomal RNA", at positions 341 to 792 of the family's 1533-position model. Lineage: Bacteria; Bacillati; Bacillota; Clostridia; Lachnospirales; Lachnospiraceae. The record is from RNAcentral.
ACGGAAGGCAGCAGUGGGGAAUAUUGCACAAUGGGCGAAAGCCUGAUGCAGCGACGCCGCGUGAGCGAAGAAGUAUUUCGGUAUGUAAAGCUCUAUCAGCAGGGAAGAUAAUGACGGUACCUGACUAAGAAGCACCGGCUAAAUACGUGCCAGCAGCCGCGGUAAUACGUAUGGUGCAAGCGUUAUCCGGAUUUACUGGGUGUAAAGGGAGAGUAGGCGGGAUUGCAAGUCCGUUGUUAAAUCUAUCGGCUCAACCGGUAGCUGCGGCGGAAACUGUAGUUCUUGAGUGAAGUAGAGGCAGGCGGAAUUCCUAGUGUAGCGGUGAAAUGCGUAGAUAUUAGGAGGAACACCAGUGGCGAAGGCGGCCUGCUGGGCUUUAACUGACGCUGAGGCUCGAAAGUGUGGGGAGCAAACAGGAUUAGAUACCCUGGUA